GGACAAUGGGCGCAAGCCUGAUCCAGCAAUGCCGCGUGAGUGAAGAAGGCCUUCGGGUUGUAAAGCUCUUUUAUCAGGGAAGAAAAAGGACUUGACUAGUACCCGAUGCCCCUGACGGUACCUGGCCAAUAAGCACCGGCUAACUUCGUGCCAGCAGCCGCGGUAAUA
RNAcentral lists this ribosomal RNA (168 nucleotides) under uncultured bacterium. RNAcentral describes it as "partial 16S ribosomal RNA". It matches the Rfam family "Bacterial small subunit ribosomal RNA", at positions 366 to 525 of the family's 1533-position model. The record is from RNAcentral.